AGAUCCUCAGCCCCGAAGUACUACAUCUCUUACCUCUUCAUCUGUCCUCACCUGUCACCAGCAUCAGGUCACCAGGAACCAGACCAUCACGCUGUCAUAGCCUCGGGUGUGUGUUGAAUUGUCAUCCUGUCAGUCGCGCCUCUAAGCCAAACCUCUUCGCCUGCCUGUUUACACGAAGGU
This is a long non-coding RNA of Scylla paramamosain (green mud crab), 180 nucleotides long. RefSeq lists it as uncharacterized. NCBI's taxonomy places the organism in Eukaryota, Metazoa, Arthropoda, Malacostraca, Decapoda, Portunidae. The transcript has 3 exons. The record is from RefSeq and is a predicted model, not a curated record.